Molecule: ribosomal RNA, 492 nt
Filed under: uncultured bacterium
Lineage: Bacteria
Description: partial 16S ribosomal RNA
Rfam family: Bacterial small subunit ribosomal RNA
Source: RNAcentral
AGUGAACGCUGGCGGUAGGCCUAACACAUGCAAGUCGAACGGCAGCACAGUAAGAGCUUGCUCUUACGGGUGGCGAGUGGCGGACGAGUGAGGAAUACAUCGGAAUCUACUUUUUCGUGGGGGAUAACGUAGGGAAACUUACGCUAAUACCGCAUACGACCUACGGGUGAAAGCAGGGGAUCUUCGGACCUUGCGCGAUUGAAUGAGCCGAUGUCGGAUUAGCUAGUUGGCGGGGUAAAGGCCCACCAAGGCGACGAUCCGUAGCUGGUCUGAGAGGAUGAUCAGCCACACGGGAACUGAGACACGGUCCAGACUCCUACGGGAGGCAGCAGUGGGGAAUAUUGGACAAUGGGCGCAAGCCUGAUCCAGCCAUACCGCGUGGGUGAAGAAGGCCUUCGGGUUGUAAAGCCCUUUUGUUGGGAAAGAAAAGCAGCAGGUUAAUACCCCGCUGUUCUGACGGUACCCGAAGAAUAAGCACCGGCUAACUUCGUG